This is a long non-coding RNA of Triticum aestivum (bread wheat), 1848 nucleotides long. RefSeq lists it as uncharacterized. The record is from RefSeq and is a predicted model, not a curated record. The transcript has 4 exons. NCBI's taxonomy places the organism in Eukaryota, Viridiplantae, Streptophyta, Magnoliopsida, Poales, Poaceae.
CAUUUCUUCACAUCGGGGUAUGCUUCCAUGGAGGCGUGCUACUGAUGUUGAUGAUCUUUGCAUAGCGGAGCCAUAUCAUCCUGAUCGAGUUGCACGACAACUUACUUUGAGACAACAAGUGCCCUAUGCUCCGUUGGUCAGCGUGUACACAAAGGAGGAUACUGGCGUUGCAUAUGCGUAUUGGUCGCAUUUGUUACGCUCGGACCAAGGAGAGUUCCAGUACCUUCUUAAUGAUGCGCAUGAGGCAUUUUCUUCUGUGGCCUGGAACAAGUGGUGGGUGGGAUUUAUGAAACCAUUUAACAACAUAUUCAAUACUCUUCGUCCGGGCAAAUGGUCCGAAUUAUUAUCCGCGGAAACGUAAUUUUCCGAAACGCGGAGAGGAGUACAUAGUUCCUCGCAAGCUUUUAGAGAAUGAUUUUGUUGUUAUAAAGGAAGUCUCUGCCGGGGGUAAGGAGGAACAUAUUGCAGCCAUCAAAUUGAAUGGAAAGAGAAUUAUGGACCACUGGCGUCCCAUUUUGUGUGGCUUUCUCUCAAAUGAUGAACCUUUAAUUAACUCUAAAAAGAAGAAGCGAAAGGUUAAGGAUGCUGUCGCUACUCAACCCAUGAAAUCUAAAGAGCAAAGUGGCGUACCAAAGUCUGUUGUUGCAGUUGGUUCUUCCUCUGCUCAUCCAUUGCUAGUGGGUAGUGAUGAUCUUCCGGAAACUGCCCCGGCCACCGGCGGACAGAAGCGUAGAAAUUUAUCACCCACUCAUGCUGACGAGGAAGAGAGGCUCCCCCUCAAGCGCAAACUUGAUUUUUCCCAAGAAUAUGAUUUUUAUGAACCAAUAACAUUGGACAGUCAUUAGAUGUUGAACUCAGUAGCUUUGUUAACGAUGAAGAUUUUGGCCAUGUUCUCACUGGAGAAAAGGACCAUGGCCUUGGUGACCUCUUCAAUUUAUCCGUCGAGGAUUAUACCAUUGGCGAGUGUGGCAUAAGUCGUCCAUUUUCCAGCCCGGGUGUGACUGAAGCUGUGCCCCAUACCCCUAGUGCUCUUGAUUUCUUGUCAACUUUACCUGGUUGCGACCAAGAAAUUCGCCACUCACAAGACCCUGAGGUGAUGGUUGUAUCAGGGAAAGGCGCACAGAUGGACUGCAGUUUCAUCAAGGACACGUUUAUGGAUGCUACAGAUUUUGUAGUGAAACGAGCCCUCGAAGGACUGAACGACUCUACCCUUGGUGAUCCCGAGGGACGCACCAUGCUUGAGAGCGUUUCUCAAAUGCUGCCCACGCAAGUGCCUGAGGUAGCUAAGGUGCAGGCCAUGUUGGUCGGGCUUAUUAACCUUAGUUGGAGGGUGGCCAGACUGAAUUCACGAAGGAAUCCGAGCGAGAUGAACAUGUUGUUGCUGAAGUAGAACUUAAGAUUAAGUCUGGCCAUGAGGUUUCCAAGGCCACAAUUGAGGACUUAUCUGACGUAGAAAAGAAGUGCACUGAAAUGGAGGCACGGGAAGCAGAGCUGAAGGCUCAUCUUGAAGAGGUUACUGCUACUUUGCACAGGCUUAAAUUGGAAAUGGAACAGCGCCGACAAGCACAUGAUGACCAUCAAUCUGAACAGAAGAAGUUGGUGAAGAGUCUACAGGAUACCAAUGCUGGCAAACGUACAAGGCUUGCUGAAUUUAAACAAAAGACAACAGAUUUAAAGACUCAAGCAAGUCAGUUGUUGAACAACCUGCAGAACUAGCGAGCUCCUUGAGAAGGCCUAGGCUUCGCUUAGUUUUUUUAUUUAGCCAUUUCAAUUCAUCAUUUCUCUUUAAAUCAUUUUAUGUUCAGUACUCAGUUUCACUUCAAAUGUAGCAGUACUUUGUUUAUUCAC